Molecule: ribosomal RNA, 459 nt
Filed under: uncultured bacterium
Lineage: Bacteria
Description: partial 16S ribosomal RNA
Rfam family: Bacterial small subunit ribosomal RNA
Source: RNAcentral
ACUACAGGUGGCAGCAGUGAGGAAUAUUGGUCAAUGGCCGGAAGGCUGAACCAGCCAAGCCGCGUGAAGGACGAAGGUGCCAAGCAUUGUAAACUUCUUUUGUCAAAGGACAAAAUCAGGCUCGAGAGCCUGACCGAGGGUACUUGAAGAAAAAGCAUCGGCUAAAUCCGUGCCAGCAGCCGCGGUAAUACGGGGGAUGCGAGCGUUAUCCGGUGUUAUUGGGUUUAAAGGGUGCGUAGGCGGGAUGUUAAGUCAGCGGUAAAAGCCCGGGGCUCAACCCCGGCGAGCCGUUGAAACUGGCUGGCUUGAGAUGUCGAGAGGUAUGCGGAAUGCGCAGUGUAGCGGUGAAAUGCUUAGAUAUUGCGCAGAACUCCGAUUGCGAAGGCAGCAUACCGGCGGCGAUCUGACGCUGAGGCACGAAAGCGUGGGUAUCGAACAGGAUUAGAUACCCUUGUAGUC